GAUGAACGCUAGCGACAGGCCUAACACAUGCAAGUCGAGGGGCAGCACAAGGAGCAAUCUGAGGUGGCGACCGGCGCACGGGUGAGUAACACGUAUGCAACCUGCCUGUAAGAGGGGGAUAACCCGUUGAAAGACGGACUAAUACCGCAUAGUACUGAAUAACCGCAUGGUUAAUCAGUUAAACAUUUAUGGCUUACAGAUGGGCAUGCGCAUGAUUAGCUAGUUGGUGAGGUAACGGCUCACCAAGGCAACGAUCAUUAGGGGUUCUGAGAGGAAGGUCCCCCACACUGGUACUGAGACACGGACCAGACUCCUACGGGAGGCAGCAGUGAGGAAUAUUGGUCAAUGGGCGAGAGCCUGAACCAGCCAAGUCGCGUGAAGGAUGAAGGUUUUAUGAAUUGUAAACUUCUUUUGCAGGGGAAUAAAGGUACGGUACGUGUACCGUUUUGUAUGUACUCUGCGAAUAAGGAUCGGCUAACUCCGUGCCAGCA
RNAcentral lists this ribosomal RNA (491 nucleotides) under uncultured bacterium. Its description in RNAcentral is "bacterial SSU rRNA". It matches the Rfam family "Bacterial small subunit ribosomal RNA", at positions 28 to 513 of the family's 1533-position model. The record is from RNAcentral.